Long non-coding RNA from Triticum dicoccoides, 1830 nucleotides. RefSeq lists it as uncharacterized. The transcript has 3 exons. The record is from RefSeq and is a predicted model, not a curated record. NCBI's taxonomy places the organism in Eukaryota, Viridiplantae, Streptophyta, Magnoliopsida, Poales, Poaceae.
CUCGCCCAUGUCCCGCAAAACCGGCGGAAAGAAAAAAUGAGCGCACAUAUGCCUCAUCCAAUCCGCCGUCGUGCCUCCCCACGACCUCGCACACCGCCGUUGGUGCUAUGUCAUCGCGUCCCCGCGCGGACCCAAAUAUUCGUCUCCCUCUCUUCUUUCAUUUCCCCCUCUCCACUCCUCUGCAAUCACAUGCGCAGACGCCUCGCCGCCACGCUCCCUCUUCGACUCUUUUUUUUGAGAUAGCUUACCAGGCUUGCUGCCUGGUCCCCCCCCUUCGACCCAAUCUACUAGGAGCUCUGCCAGCUUUUGGAUUUGCAUACAAUGCUGACACCACAUGGACUCUGAACUCUAAAGGAAGUUGUGCUAACUGCUAGGCUUUCCCUGCUUUUCCAGCUUGUGUGUUUCAUUGAUGGAUGAGACCUGAAAGUAACAUCAAAGGAUGCCAGCGGCGGCAGAGAUCAACAAGUUCUUCACCGUCGCAGAGAAGGUGGAGGUCGAAUGUUUCACCGUCAAGUGCACACUUAUCAUUCUGCUACAGUCACUCGAUCAUCGUCAGGAACACCGCCACACUAAGAAUUGUGCAGCUGCUCUACUUUCAGGUCCAAAUUGGACAUCACGUGAGGUGUUACGGUCAACACCAGCCAGUUCAAGGCAACCCUACAGGUGGUCGUCUGAGCGAGUGCUAACAUGCUAAUAGGAGCAGUUUCAUCUCGAGCAGACUUGCACCGCAAUAAGUACAUGCUACUCUCAGCGACUGUUAACAUGAAGUUGCACUCAGGCUCUGGCAUAGACUACAGAGGUACUAUCCGUAAGUAUCACGGUUCAUAGAUUUAUUUAUAUGAACAAUACUGAUCUCAAGGAUAACAAUCUAGAUUCAUCUAUUACUUCUGCUAAUCUGACUGUAACAACAGUCACUCCCAUUCAAACUUUCUUUAGGGAAACUACAACAUGCAUUUUGCUCACCUCAACAUUAAAUUAAGGAGUGCAGAAGGUUCAGGGCUUAUGCGGACUAUUGAAAUGUUAUAUUUGUGGACAAUGGAGAAAAGCCUGAAUUAGGCAUCAGAGUAGAAUUUACACUCGUUGGUACAGUGCGGCUUUUGGGCAUCCUUAGAACGAUAAGCCCAAAUACGAAGAUUAGACGCCACCUUAGAUUUGUCUGGUUGUUAACUUGUGGUCAUCAAACACAUUUAUAUUAUGCUCUGUCCAUAUGCUCUAGAGGAAACAAGCAAUAAUAGUGGACUGCAAUUUCUGGGGUAUCACGCCCAUUUAAACUGACGGUGCAAGUUCAGGCCGACCUUCCUUUUUUCCUUCAGAUCUUUCUGUUUUAAGAAUUGUACUGUUAUAAUUAUACCAUUAUAUAUUUAUUUUAGAUACAUGUUCAAAGAUUAUUUUAUUUCACCCAAAAUACAAAGGACACGGGAAAAUCACUAUUUCUCUAUUUCCUGAAAUAAAUGCCUGAAUUUGUUUACCAUGUUUUCUCUAUUUCCUUCCUUACAGUAGUGUCUUCAAUAGAACAAAUAAAGUGUUGAGUAACUAAAAGGCCAUUCCGAUUCCGGUAUGGUAAAUAUUUGAUGGAUGACAAAGGGUCCUGGGGGAGCUCGUUUGUGUUGACGAUACUCAACAUAUUCUGUAAAUAUCCUCUGAAUUCACCAUCCAUGAGCCGCAAGUCAUGUUUUCUGGUGCUAUAAGUAUAAAAAAGGUUCAUACUUUGUUUUAUUAUCCUUUUGUGGUGUUGGUACUAUACCUUUUGGCCUAAGAAGGCUCUCUGAAACACUGAGACAAACAAAGCUAAACAUUUGGAGUAUGAUUAAGCAGUCCAGUCAGCGUUAC